GUAAAGGGAGGUAAGUUUCGCCACCAGGAUUCGAGUAGUAUUGGCCACGGGGAUUCAAGAUUUAACAUAGUUUUCCCCGGCCCCAUGAGAUUAGUCUUUGGGCCUAGAUAGCCUUUGGGAUCACUCCUGAGUUAUAAUAAAUAAAAAAAAUCAUCCUUGUUUUGUUUUAGAGUGAGAUAGAAGAAAAUAAAGAUUCGGCGGCCGAAAAGCAAAUGAGAUUUGUGUUCACGAAAUUUCAAAAAAUAACAUGUAAUAUUUAUACUUAACAUGUUAUAUAUCCACAAAAACAUGGUAUUUGUAAAAAUAGCAUUGUUAUUUGUGAAAAUUAAACUAAAUAGCAUGUUAUAUAAAAACAUAGCAUGUUAUUUGAGAAAGUAUCGUGUUAUAUAAAAACAUAGCGUGUUAUUUGAGAAAGUAUCGUAUAAAAAAGAAAAAUAUUCUAACAUCAUGUGUAAUUCAAAGAAGUAGCAUGUUACAAAAGAAAAUGACAAAUAUUCUAAUACGACUGAACAUGUG
This 516-nucleotide long non-coding RNA is filed under the name Capsella rubella. RNAcentral's name for it is "long non-coding RNA (CRUB_LNC004290)". Lineage: Eukaryota; Viridiplantae; Streptophyta; Magnoliopsida; Brassicales; Brassicaceae. The record is from RNAcentral.